This is a non-coding RNA of Glossina morsitans morsitans, 84 nucleotides long. NCBI's taxonomy places the organism in Eukaryota, Metazoa, Arthropoda, Insecta, Diptera, Glossinidae. The record is from Rfam.
CCACGUUGAAAUCGGGUUUCGUAAACAGCGCACUGUAUACGAUAAAACUAAGUUCGUUGUCGACGAAACCUGCAUAUAACGUGG